CUGGGAUGAUGUAGCUGGGGCUGGUCCUGCUUGGAGCAGGGGGUUAGACCAGAUGUCACCUCCCGAGCUCCCUUCAACCCUCCUUUUCUAUGAUUUCUAUUGGGAAAUGCAA
This is a long non-coding RNA of Gavialis gangeticus (Gharial), 112 nucleotides long. RefSeq lists it as uncharacterized. The record is from RefSeq and is a predicted model, not a curated record. The transcript is spliced from 3 exons. NCBI's taxonomy places the organism in Eukaryota, Metazoa, Chordata, Crocodylia, Gavialidae.